GAUGAACGCUGGCGGCGUGCCUAAUACAUGCAAGUAGAACGCUGAAGGAGGAGCUUGCUCUUCUGGAUGAGUUGCGAACGGGUGAGUAACGCGUAGGUAACCUGCCUGGUAGCGGGGGAUAACUAUUGGAAACGAUAGCUAAUACCGCAUGACAACAGUUGUUGCAUGAUAACUGUUGAAAAGGGGCAACUGCUCCACUACCAGAUGGACCUGCGUUGUAUUAGCUAGUUGGUGAGGUAACGGCUCACCAAGGCGACGAUACAUAGCCGACCUGAGAGGGGGAGCGGCCACACUGGGAGGGAGACACGGCACAGAGUCCCACGGGAGGCAGCAGUAGGGAAUCUGGGGCAAUGGACGGAAGUCUGACCGAGCAACGCCGCGUGAGUGAAGAAGGUUGUCGGAUCGUAAAGCUCUGUUGUAAGAGAAGAACGAGUGUGAGCGUGGAAAGUUCACACUGUGACGGUAUCUUACCAGAAAGGGACGGCUAACUACGUG
This 495-nucleotide ribosomal RNA is filed under the name uncultured bacterium. Its description in RNAcentral is "partial 16S ribosomal RNA". It matches the Rfam family "Bacterial small subunit ribosomal RNA", at positions 28 to 507 of the family's 1533-position model. The record is from RNAcentral.